Molecule: unclassified non-coding RNA, 711 nt
Filed under: Hevea brasiliensis (rubber tree)
Lineage: Eukaryota; Viridiplantae; Streptophyta; Magnoliopsida; Malpighiales; Euphorbiaceae
Source: RNAcentral
AGCCAAAAAAGAAAGAGAAGAAGGCGAAAAAAGAGAAGAAAAAGGAUGAAGAGUCUAAAGAUGGUGACAAGGAAGGCGAUUCCAAGGAGAAGAAGAAAAAGAAAGGCAAAGAUGAGGGUGAAGACUCAGAGGGCAAAGAAGAGGAAAAUGAAGACGAGAAAGGAAACAAAGAGAAGGAAAAGAAAAUAAAGACGAAGAAGAGGAGUAUUGAAGCAUCACAUGAAGAGGAAGCAGAUGAAGAGAAAGAGAAGGGAAAAGAAAAGAAAGAGAAAAACAAGGAGAAGAAGGAUAAAAGUGGGAAGAAAAAGGAGAAGAAGAACGAUGUCGGUUCUCUGAAGGCAAAGCUAGAAAAGAUCGAUGCCAAGAUUGAAGCUCUGGUUGCCAAGAAAGCAGAGAUCUUGAAACAGAUCAAAGAAGCUGAAGAGGCCCAAGUGGUGGAAAAGCCAAGCGAGGAGACUAAUGUUGCUGCAGCAUAACAUUGUGAGCAAUUACUUCACCUAUAACAUAUAGGUAGUUAGAGCAAUGGCUUUCAUUGCAGUGAAGUUUCCAUUACUGUACAUCAGUUGAGCAAGUCUUUUAUCAAGGAUAUUAUGUGGCAGUGGUACUAUUAUGUGAACUAGUAGAAAAUUUCUGAUGCCUCUUGUACACAAAUUGUUGUCAUCUCUGAUGAUAAAUGUACGAGUUCAGAAAUCAAUAAUAAGUUGUUUGGCG